Molecule: ribosomal RNA, 375 nt
Filed under: uncultured bacterium
Lineage: Bacteria
Description: bacterial SSU rRNA
Rfam family: Bacterial small subunit ribosomal RNA
Source: RNAcentral
GACGAACGCUGGCGGCGUGCUUAACACAUGCAAGUCGAGCGGUAAGGCCCUUUCGGGGGUACGACGAGCGGCGAACGGGUGAGUAACACGUGGGUGACCUGCCCUUAGCUCUGGGAUAAGCCUGGGAAACUGGGUCUAAUACCGGAUAUGACCUCAUGACUCAUGUUGUGGGGUGGAAAGCCUUGUGCGGCUAGGGAUGGGCCCGCGGUCUAUCAGCUUGUUGGUGGGGUAAUUGCCUACCAAGGCGACGACGGGUAGCCGGCCUGAGAGGGCGACCGGCCACACUGGGACUGAGACACGGCCCAGACUCCUACGGGAGGCAGCAGUGGGAAUCUUGCGCAAUGGGCGAAAGCCUGACGCAGCGACGCCGCGUGA